UACGUAGGGGGCAAGCGUUGUCCGGAAUUAUUGGGCGUAAAGAGCGUGUAGGCGGCCAGAUAAGUCCGCUGUGAAAUCUCGAGGCUCAACUUCGAGCUGUCGGCGGAAACCAUCUGGCUAGAGUCCGGAAGAGGAGAAUGGAAUUCCCGGUGUAGCGGUGAAAUGCGCAGAUAUCGGGAAGAACACCCGUGGCGAAGGCGGUUCUCUGGGAUGGUACUGACGCUGAGACGCGAAAGCGUGGGGAGCGAGCAGG
RNAcentral lists this ribosomal RNA (253 nucleotides) under uncultured bacterium. Its description in RNAcentral is "partial 16S ribosomal RNA". It matches the Rfam family "Bacterial small subunit ribosomal RNA", at positions 524 to 776 of the family's 1533-position model. The record is from RNAcentral.